CAGUCGCCGCGGUAAAACAGAGGGUGCAAGCGUUAAUCGGAAUUACUGGGCGUAAAGCGCGCGUAGGUGGUUUGUUAAGUUGGAUGUAAAAUCCCCGGGCUCAACCUGGGAACUGCAUUCAAAACUGACUGACUAGAGUAUGGUAGAGGGUGGUGGAAUUUCCUGUGUAGCGGUGAAAUGCGUAGAUAUAGGAAGGAACACCAGUGGCGAAGGCGACCACCUGGACUAAUACUGACACUGAGGUGCGAAAGCGUGGGGAGCAAACAGGAUUAGAUACCCCCGUAGUCCCUGUCUCUUAUAU
Molecule: ribosomal RNA, 301 nt
Filed under: uncultured bacterium
Lineage: Bacteria
Description: partial 16S ribosomal RNA
Rfam family: Bacterial small subunit ribosomal RNA
Source: RNAcentral